Molecule: ribosomal RNA, 506 nt
Filed under: uncultured bacterium
Lineage: Bacteria
Description: partial 16S ribosomal RNA
Rfam family: Bacterial small subunit ribosomal RNA
Source: RNAcentral
GAUGAACGCUAGCUACAGGCUUAACACAUGCAAGUCGAGGGGUAACGAGAGGAAAGCUUGCUUUCCUUGUCGACGACCGGCGCACGGGUGAGUAACGCGUAUCCAACCUGCCCCCAACUAAGGAAUAACCUUGCGAAAGUAAGACUAAUACCUUAUAAUUUCCUCAGAUGUCAUCUGACGAGGAAUAAAGAUUUAUCGGUUGUGGAUGAGGAUGCGUCUGAUUAGCUUGUUGGCGGGGUAACGGCCCACCAAGGCAACGAUCAGUAGGGGUUCUGAGAGGAAGGUCCCCCACAUUGGAACUGAGACACGGUCCAAACUCCUACGGGAGGCAGCAGUGAGGAAUAUUGGUCAAUGGGCGGAAGCCUGAACCAGCCAAGUAGCGUGCAGGAUGACGGCCCUAUGGGUUGUAAACUGCUUUUAUACAGGAAUAAAGUUAGCCACGUGUGGUUAUUUGUAGGUACCGUAUGAAUAAGGACCGGCUAAUUCCGUGCCAGCCGCCGCCGUAA